RNAcentral lists this transfer-messenger RNA (373 nucleotides) under Candidatus Caccomorpha excrementavium. It matches the Rfam family "transfer-messenger RNA". From Rfam's summary of the family: Bacterial tmRNA, also known as 10Sa RNA or SsrA, is named for its dual tRNA and mRNA-like properties. Its role is to liberate the mRNA from a stalled ribosome. Lineage: Bacteria; Bacillati; Bacillota; Clostridia. The record is from RNAcentral.
GGGCUUGUACUGGUUUCGACGGGGGUUUUGAAGUUGCGGAAGCCAUUCGUGGGCCGGGACCACGUAAAAACCUGGACUUAAAAUUAAACGCAGACGAUAAUUUAGCGUUAGCUGCUUAAUUGCAGCUUGUCGGCCUUAAGCCACCCGCUGCUUAAGAAUCCGGCAUCAUCCUUGCGGGGCACUUUGUUCCCAAAGCUUUGAGGGAAUAAAAGAUUCAUGAAGCUACCAAAACCGGAAGAUUGUCUGUCAUCGUCCGGCAGAGGGAACAGCGGAGGCAAACCUGGUUUUGCAGAUCGCACAAAUGACCGACUGUAAUGGGAGAUGCUGCGAUGGAUGGGCUUUCGGACAGGGGUUCGACUCCCCUCAGGUCCAU